Molecule: ribosomal RNA, 25 nt
Filed under: Pseudo-nitzschia calliantha
Lineage: Eukaryota; Bacillariophyta; Bacillariophyceae; Bacillariales; Bacillariaceae
Description: partial large subunit ribosomal RNA
Source: RNAcentral
CCAGAUCUCAGAUCAAGUAAGAUUA